RNAcentral lists this long non-coding RNA (747 nucleotides) under Elaeis guineensis (African oil palm). Its description in RNAcentral is "long non-coding RNA (EGUI_LNC003111)". The record is from RNAcentral. Lineage: Eukaryota; Viridiplantae; Streptophyta; Magnoliopsida; Arecales; Arecaceae.
GAACAUGGUCCUCAAAUGGAUUCAGACAUAUGCCUUUUUAGGAAAUAGCUCAAAUAUCUAACAAAUUUGCCUUUUCUUUAUGUUCAUGCACAUGUUCAGGGUUUACAUUUAUCCAUGAUGUGUACCCUCACUGAUAAUUUGAACAUGGUCCUCAAAUAUCCUUGAGAUCCUUAUAUGUCUUCUUGCAGAUGAGAUCCAAACACAUCACCUAGUUGAAGGUCCACAAAAUCUCACAAUUGUGGUAUUAUUAUUUUUUUCGAGUUAAAUAGAAAUUUACAUAUUGAGCACUGGAGGGAACAAAUAUUCCUAUUCAAAAGGGGAUAUAUAGAAGAUUCCAAUAGAGAGAGAAUUCCAUGUUGAAACAAAGGCAUCAGCUAAAAAUCAUCAAUUUAAAAUGUCAUAUGAUUUCAGAUUUUCAAAUUAGAAACAAGCAUAAUUAGAAAUGUGAGAGAUCCAAGUUCAAGUGAGGAUCUUGCAACUAAUAAGGAGCUCCAAAUUCUUGUACAGCUGUAAAUCUGAAGAAACCAAUUAUGCGUCAAACUGUAGAUUUAAUAUUGGCCAUCAGGUUCAGAAUUUCAAAACAACAUUUAAACUCGAAAUUGAAUACAAGGUUCAAAACCAUAUGAUAUCUCAUAGUUUCUGGAUGCAUAUAAGAAUUACUUACAAUACGAGACAAACAAGGGUGAUAUAUUAAAGGAAAAAUUAUCUAUAGGUCCCUAAAUGGAUCCAAAAUUAUUUUUAAGUCCC